This 301-nucleotide ribosomal RNA is filed under the name uncultured bacterium. RNAcentral's name for it is "partial 16S ribosomal RNA". It matches the Rfam family "Bacterial small subunit ribosomal RNA", at positions 509 to 807 of the family's 1533-position model. The record is from RNAcentral.
CAGUCGCCGCGGUAAUACGUAGGUGGCAAGCGUUGUCCGGAAUUAUUGGGCGUAAAGGGCUCGCAGGCGGUUUCUUAAGUCUGAUGUGAAAGCCCCCGGCUCAACCGGGGAGGGUCAUUGGAGACUGGGAAACUUGAGUGCAGAAGAGGAGAGUGGAAUUCCACGUGUAGCGGUGAAAUGCGUAGAGAUGUGGAGGAACACCAGUGGCGAAGGCGACUCUCUGGUCUGUAACUGACGCUGAGGAGCGAAAGCGAGGGGAGCGAACAGGAUUAGAUACCCCGGUAGUCCCUGUCUCUUAUAC